RNAcentral lists this ribosomal RNA (90 nucleotides) under Triticum aestivum (bread wheat). RNAcentral's name for it is "partial small subunit ribosomal RNA". The record is from RNAcentral. Lineage: Eukaryota; Viridiplantae; Streptophyta; Magnoliopsida; Poales; Poaceae.
AUGGGCGUGCGCUCAAAGGAUACAAACAGGGAUUCGCAAACAAAAAGGGGAAUUCGUAGUCACUUUUUCCUGUCGCGUAAAGAUCCAUAA